CAGGUGUGUAACAACUGAGAUAUUUUUAUUGCUGAUUGGUUCCUAUUCCUGAAUACUGCUGAUCUGGAAGAGCAAAGGUAUGAAAUGGUGCCUCCACCAGCGAGAUGGAACACCUUGCCCACACUCUGAAAUGAACAUUCCUAACAGUAAAGAGAAGGAACUGAUAAACGUUGGAGUGAAACAAGUGUCCGAGGCCUCAUCUCUCCAGAUGCUGUGCAAGAGAAUGACAAGAUGAGUAUCCCGCUGUCCUCGCUCUCCCGUCUGGCUGAGGAGCUGAUUCUCCUGGCUUAGGUGAGCAGAACCCACCUACUGAGGAGAGUGGCAUUACAAACCUUGAGGCUCUAAAUGCCAAAGGAAAGAUGCACUCAGGAGCACACGAUGACAGUGUUGGGCUGAGCCCUGGUGUCAGCAGCUGCUGCCCUCCUAUUUGCAGUUAGACCCCCGGGACAAGGGAGAGACUGGGGAGCGAGCCACUGCCCAGGGCAUGUUCUCCACAGGUGGGAACGUAAGCACCUCCAGCUGUCACCCGCCAGGGAUGUUUUGCCUCCCUAGCUCCAGCCCUCGUCAGAGCUGGGAUACAGGAGUUGCCUGCGUGUGGAUGCAUGAAAAUUCAAUAUGAACCCAUAGCACAAAUUCAUGUUUUUCAAUGUAUGAGCUAAAACCUGGAGCUUCAAAAAGAAGUCAAUGCAAAUACGACAGCGAGAUUAAAAGGCUGUAGGAAUCUCUUUUGCUUGCUUAGUGAGAUUUGAAGAUUUAAUGUGUGCAGCCAUCCAUAUUUAGAAAGCAGACUUAAAAUUGCUCCGGAGCUGUGCAAGACAACAAUCCUCAUUUAAAAGCAUCUACUUGUACCUCAGUUGUGUGUAAAGCUUGCCGCUGUGGGCUCCACUUAGAGAACAAAACCAAAAUUAAUCUGAAGGAGAAGCUAUUCAUUGUGAGCGUGUCACCUUCCAGGGUAUCUUAUGGAUUUUAAAAAGCUGCUGAAGCUCUGCUGAGGGGAAAAGGUCUGUGUUGAUGGAUGUGGCCACGUGGCCAGAGCCACUUUCACAAGCAUUGUCUGUCAGACCCCCGCUGAAUCCAGAGCGAUGAAAGGGGUGCCUGGAAAAUCCCCUGCUCCUGUUUCUCCUUUGGUUUUAUUGUAAUGCUUUUUGAGGUAGGACUGAGUGUAAUGCCUGGAGUCAAGCGUUUUUGGUGGAUGUUGGAUCCAAAAAGAUUGCAUUCUGCUGAUGUAUGUGAGCGUGUUGGGGAAGAAUUAGGCAAUCUUUCAUCAUUUAGAAGCAGCGUGACGCUACUCUGCUGUGAGGCGAAGAUCCCCACCUCUCCUAGCCUGUCCUCGCAUGGAAAGUGCUCCAGUCUUUGGAUCAUCUCUGUGGUCUCCUCUGGACUCGCUCUAACUGGUCUGUGCUCUUCCUGUCCUGAGGACUCCAGAAUUGAACGCAGGAUGCCAGUAUUUUCCUGUAAAGAAUAUGCAGCAUGCUAGACGCCAGGGAAUAGGUGAGUUUUAUUUUUGUAUUGACUCGUAAAGCAUUUCAUGCUUUUUUUUCCCCUAACUUCUUGCAUUUCAAAUACAUUAGGGUCAUUGGUUGUAAUGGGAAUGCCAACGUCAAGGUCAGCUGAAAGAUUAUUUAAUAUAUUUGGGGGAUGUCAGUGCUGAAAUUCCCUAGAAGCAAAUAUGCAUGAUUUUGAGUGUUUGUAGAUAUAGAUAAUGGACAGAGAAUGGAUAAUAGACAUCCUGUGUUCAAUUCAGGUUUGUGUAGAGAACACACGAUGCACAGUUAUGAAAGUAUGUCAAGGGGCAUUGGAGCAUGUGUGGUAAUGAUGAAAGUGGAAAAUUAAGCUCCCAACUCUCUGUCUCUCUCUCCCUAUAUGUAUAAGCACGCACCGUGUCAUAAUUAUGCAAAGAAGGAAGUGGAAGAUGGUCUUUUAGAACGAGAGGUGGUUUAUUUUUGGUGGCCCUAUCCAUGUACUUAUCACCAGGCCCUGUUGUUCUAAAGUGCAGCGUUAACAUAGCUGUAGAGCAGAGAAAUCUUGAACCUAUCUAAAGUUUUUUCCACUCAGAUAAUAAAUAAAUGAGGUCAGAAUGCAUGUUAUUUUAAUUAAAAUAAUCAAUAGUCAUUGAAGGAACAGUACUUCAUCCUCCCAUCUUGGAGACCGAAAGUACUGUUAAUCCAGCAAUGUAACUCCAGGGCAACUCAAAAAUGAGAAGAAAAAACUGCCCAUAUUGGUGCUUGGGCACAGAUUUUCAGCUUACCUGUGGCAGUUGUCUUGAUAUCGCUGUUAAUAGAAUUCUGCCUUGUCUUCCGAUUACCCAGGUUUUACAGAUACUCGAGAAAACAUACGUUUAGAGAAAACCUAGCAUGAUUCAUGUAGCUUGAGCUGAGUGAGUUUUUGCUUAAUUAAAUGAAUUAUGUAGACAUUUUUUAAUUGUCAAAAUGCCAAAACCAAUACGCUGCACUUUGAAAAUCCUCUCUAUUUUUAGAACAAUACUGACUUUGUGUCUUAUAUUGAAAUUCUUCAGCCUAGUAAUCUAUAAUAUGCUCGAGGCUAUUUUGAUAUUGCUGCCUUUUAAUUAAGCACAUCCGUUGUUAAUAUUUUUAAAGUUGGAUUAAAUUCUUUUGCUAGUAUUUUUAAUAGGCCUGUUAGUAAUUAUAUGCUUUUGCUACAGCAGAUUGGUAACUCAUUAGUUCUUAAGGAAAAAAAUAUAUUUGUUCUAAGGAGUAAACAGGGCCUUUUGCACCGUAAGUUGAUAGUGUUGAGCACCACUCAGAAGGAUGACGAGUACUUCAAGACUAGUGCAGUAUUCCGUGUAUAUACCUGUAUUUAACUCAUAAGCCAUAAAACAUCCAGGGUUUUAAAAUUACAGUUGUUUGAUUAUGUAUGUCUGUAACUACUACCUGCUCCUCAUCUACGCUGUGGUGUAAAGGGAAAGGAUCUAAGUCGUACAUGGUAAUAUGCCAUAUUAUACAAUAUUAGCAAGAUCCUCCCCCAGCGCGUACUUAACAUUCUGCUCUGUUUUGGUAUUGUUAGAGCAGGCGCCCUGUGCAAGUGAACCAAUUAAAGUCUGAUGUGAUUUAUGGUGUCUUAAAUUGUGAGGCUGCAACUAUAAAUAUUGCAAAGGGCUUUGAUUUUCAGAUGAUGCCAAACAUUCCCAUUCUCAAAAUUAGAUCUCACUGAGAUGUGUAGUAUUAGGGGAGUAAACACAUCAUUUCUAAUUUCAUUUCUAUUCUUUUCUGUGACUAAUAUAGAUGAAAAAGGAUUCCAUAAUAGCGUGUCAUAUAUCGAAUUCAAUGAAAUUUAUUAAAAUAUUAACCACUGUUGGUUUUUCUCCCCCCAGCAGCUCUCUAAUUUAUAUUAGUUCGUUCGGGAAUAACACAAUGCCAGUUUCUGACCUGUCAUCUGUGUCACCCCAGCUCUUGUCAGCUUUUACCUUGAGAAAAUUAUGUUGUUGAACUGAAUGCUAAAGAAGCAAACAGUGUUUAAGGUUAAUUUUAGAGGCUAGUCCUUCCCCAAAAUACGUCUUACAUCUUUUUCUUUCAACCUUUGAAAGGUUUUUAGGAACUGUUUGAUUCAUCCUUUUAUUACCGUGGCCUAAAGACCAGAGAAUACACAGAUUUGGUGUUGUGUAUGCACAUACAGGUAGGUGACCGUGCUUGCACACUCAAAUAGGGUUGUGUAUGUGGAGAGAGAAGGAAGGAAGGAAGGAAUGAACACUAGUCAUGUUCUGAGGAGUUGUGUUCUUAGUUCUCCUGAACUUCUUGAUCUCAUUACCACCACCCAGUGGAAUUCCUUGGAGCUCAUGCCAAGUCCCGAGGUGAACUUCAGGACUUCUCAUGGAAGCACCUGCUCCUCCAGUAAAGGAGCCCAAGUUCAUUGCAGAGGGAGUUUCCUCCUGACUGUGGAAGAGUUUCAAACAUUUUUUUAGAUUCUAGAUCUUUUAGUUCUGGGAAAAGUUGUGUGGAUGUUGGCAAUGAAAACCAUCUGCUUCUGAUAAACGGCCACAACCCAUCUGCUACCCUAGAUCUCAAAACGUACUGUUUUCCUAUUUAUUCACUAAUUUUCUUUCGUUUACAAGGUUUUCUAUUGAUGCCUCAUUUAUUUUGGAUAAAAGCCUUUCAUUUCUUGAGUGUCUUUGAGGUCUUGUAUUCUUUAACAAAGCAAGAUUUAAAAUGGUUAAAAGUAAGUACAAAAUUUUAAUUAGUAAAAAUUAAAACAUUGUACUCAUUACGUAGUCAGCUCCUUUUCUGGGAAAGUACAAGAUACUGAGCAGCUGCUUGGAACCUCUUUGUUGAUGGAGUUAAUAUGUCUGAUGUCUUUAAUCAUGUCCUUGCGAUGUACCCCGUCUACUGCAGUUUAGGCAGGUUUGGUUGGUAGCUCUGAAGAAGUGCAUUAAUUCUGUGGUCUACCUACACUUAAGCUGAAAGAGGGGAGACUGAGAUGAGAUCUUGGAAGAAAUGUUUUGCUGUGAGGGUGGGGAGGCCCUGGCCCAGGUUGCCCAGAGCAGUGGUGGCUGCCCCAUCCCUGGAGGGGUUCAAGGCCAGGUUGGAUGGGGCUUGGAGCCUCUGAUCCAGUGGGAGGUGUCCCUGCCCAUGGCAGGGGUUUGCACUUGAUGGGCUUUGAGGUCCCUUCUGACCCAAACUGUUCCAUGAGUCAAUGAUACGUGAAAAGAGGGAAGGGGUAAUUCUCACCAGUUUCUUGCUGGAGCUGCUCUACAAGUACUGUGGUAUAAAAUCAUGUGCUUUGAGGGGCUGAAGGAGCAAAGAAAAGAAAAAAAAUAGUGUGCUGUAAUAAAUCUGCUACUUUGGGGAUCAAGCAGAAAUACUUGUUCAAGCCUUUGCAGUCCUCUUCCAGUGGCUUUUGAGGGCUGCGGGAUACAGCCCGUGAUUUGAUUGCAUCACUCAGGGCUUUGAGUUGCUACUGCCUUUCCUUAGCAUUUAUGACACCAGCGCUACGCUUCAGCUCAUGCUUUGGAAUAGGGAACCCGCUGUGAUACUCUUCACGUAUGGAAAGGAUGUGCUGAGGAACUUGCCUACCAGAGUGUCCCAGUUUCUGUUCUCCCUUCCCCACCCCCACAGCUGAUGAAUGAGUGCACUUGUAAUACAGCGUAUAAUGGGUAUUACACUAUAACAGCCUUUAAAAGGUACACGAUACAGUCUUUCUCCCUUCCGCUUAACGCAAGGAUGACAGACAUCUGAAAUGGGGAAAAACAUCCAAGGCUAAGUGAAAAGGGGAAAAAAAGCGCAAUAAAAGGAGAUGGAAAAUGCAGGAGAUGGUGAAAAGGGUAAAAAGGCAUGUGUCAGGCAGCAGAUCGCUUACAGGGAGGUAUUUCUAGAAUAAACUGCAUUUUAUUGAAUUCAAUAAGAAUUGCUGUGGGAGCUGAAUUGAGUUUCUUGUGACUUGGAGCACAGCUAUUUCUUUUUCUCCUUGAUGGAUACGUUUCAGCAGUGAGUGAAUGAUUCCUCGGGAUGCGUUCACUCUGUGCUUUAACAACUGUUAAACUAAAAGGGACGGUUUACACUGUUCAGUGUCUUUUCUGGGUUAUGCCAGGACUGUGUCUUGAAUAAGGAGUGUUCCUAAACAUUAAACUGCAGAAUAGCGGGUAUAGUCCCAGGCAUAAAACCACCACAGUAUAUGGGAUUAGUGGAAUUUAUUCACUGACCUUAGUUUCCAGAAAGUUUCUCGCCUGUUUCCGGAGUUGAUAUUUGCAAUUUAUACAGGAACAACUCCAGGAAGAUUUUUGCAAAUAGGAAUUAUCAGGGAGAAUAAGAGAAAAUCGUCAGCACUGGUUAGUAUUGUAUGGCAGAGAUCUAAGUAGGUAGCAGCAUACACAGCCCAAACCCCAGAUACUCACCCAGUGGGACAGGGCGGACAGAAACAGCAAUUGGUGAACACUUUAAGAUUAAAAAAAGGAGAUUUGGGAAAUAAGAAGCCUCUUGAAACUGUGUGAUCACAAUAGAGCAUAGGCAGGAGAAGUACAGGGAGGGAUUAAAGGAAGACAUACAAAGAACGCUGGAGAUAGCAAAGUAUUAGAGAAGAAGCCAAAAAAAACCAAGAGAACAACCAGAAAAGUAGGAGUAGAAAAUGUAUAAUUUGCUUAUUAGGUGUCAUUUAGUACAACUUGUCACUUUUCUAUAGAGUGCUCUGGAUGGAUCAAGUGGUAUUUGGUUGAGGUUUUUUUUUUUUCUUCUUUCUUCUUCUUCUUUCUGUCCUCCUAUAGAGGAAGAGAACAACCCUGAUUAGCAGAAGCCCUAGGGGCUUUUAAGGUUGGUUGAUACUCUCAUUUGUUACCAAGCAUGUCGAUCCUUUCAGACUUGAGCUACCAGAGGAGAUAAUUUCUCCGUUGCUACAAUAAGCUGCUUCCCGUGUCCUCAUACUCCUCAAGAGCGUGCCAGCAGUGCCUGUCCACCUUGGAAAGGCCAGAGAGCCACCACACAGCCCUGAAAGGGCUCAGGUGCGAUUGUAGCAGGUAUAAUUAAAUGUAUUAACGAUGUGUAAUGAAAUGGCCAGCGCAAGGAUUUCGCAGCAAAAUGCUGCCGUGCUUUGAAAUGAUGAGUGUGUGGAUGGUCUGCGAGGAGCGGCGCUCCCAGGCACAACGGUCCUGACACGGAGAAGGUGGGAAGCAGUGGUGUUCUAAUCCCAGCUGGAAUAUCUUUAUUGCCAGAAAGAAGUUGUGCACUUUUAUUUUUUUCUCUUCUAUUAGUCAUUCAUUCUUUGGCUUUUUGUUACCCUCCCCUCCCUAAACUUAGGAUGGUUUUGAAAGAGAAUUACACCCGUGAUCCUGUUUGAAACUGGAACCGGGUCAGAAAUGCGCUGGGCUGUUAAAUCUAUCAAAUAUUUAUGGUAUCAGCUUCAUUUUCACACUGUAAUGACCUUGCUGGUUAUUUCUGGAUGUACAUGCUCGUAAGCGGAAAAACAGUGUCGUUCUGUGCGUGUGCAUUCUCACCCUCUUUUUUGGCUCUAACAAGAAGCUGCAAGUUUUGAUCUCACCUGUGUCCCUGCUGUCAAAACUUUCCACUUCUGACAUUUCCAUGAUUCCUUCCUAAGCACAGAAAACGCUGCAGGAUGAGUGGCAGCUGUCAACAUUUACCGUUCCCUGGGUAUGAAGGGAAUUAAUGAUGGAAAAUGCUUCUGGGAGGCAGGUGCCUCUCCUAAACCAGUGCUUCCUUUGUCAAGGACACAAACUGCAGGGAUUUCUGCCAGACAGGCGUCCCCUCCCCAGUUUCCUGGAAGCAGCUCCUGGAUUUUGGAGGACGAGAUGCUAGGACGGUGAUACCGUGUUGCCGGCCAGAAACGCUGACUAAGAGACAUUUUCAGAUGUUGCGUCGCGGUUCUGGGCUGAUUUGCUAAGGUGUUUCCUCUUUUGGCACUGGAA
Molecule: long non-coding RNA, 7366 nt
Organism: Cuculus canorus (common cuckoo)
Lineage: Eukaryota; Metazoa; Chordata; Aves; Cuculiformes; Cuculidae
Exons: 13
Source: RefSeq, a predicted model, not a curated record